UACGGAGGGAGCUAGCGUUGUUCGGAAUUACUGGGCGUAAAGCGCACGUAGGCGGUUAUUCAAGUCAGAGGUGAAAGCCCCCGGCUCAACUGGGGAGGGUCACUCGAUACUGAUCGACUUGAAGGCAGGAGAGGGAAGCGGAAUUCCCGGUGUAGUGGUGAAAUGCGUAGAUAUCGGGAGGAACACCAGUGGCGAAGGCGGCUUCCUGGCCUGUUCUUGACGCUGAGGCGCGAAAGCUAGGGGAGCAAACGGG
This 253-nucleotide ribosomal RNA is filed under the name uncultured bacterium. RNAcentral's name for it is "partial 16S ribosomal RNA". It matches the Rfam family "Bacterial small subunit ribosomal RNA", at positions 524 to 776 of the family's 1533-position model. The record is from RNAcentral.